This is an RNA transcript of Mandrillus leucophaeus (drill), 1640 nucleotides long. It is a transcript of the gene named protein FAM214B-like, with no coding region annotated. NCBI's taxonomy places the organism in Eukaryota, Metazoa, Chordata, Mammalia, Primates, Cercopithecidae. The transcript has a single exon. The record is from RefSeq and is a predicted model, not a curated record.
AUGUGCUACAUGUAGGCAGAGCUGUCUCCAUCCUCACAGCCAGAGGCUGGCCCUUCACAGCCUCCAGUCAGGCAGGGAGCCCUCCGGGGUGGCCUGUUCAUGGGCUACAGCCCAGUAAGUGGAGGGCGGGGAGCAGCAACAUCCCCCAGGGUCUACCAGGUAUCCCUCCAGCUGGUGCCUCUGAGCCUCAUAGGGCCCAGAAGCGACCAGCCUCUCCCACUGAGGGUCCCCAGGUACUGGAGAGAGGCCCUGGGCUGGGGGCCAGAGAGGGAUUACCCCUUGAAGAACCAUCUCCUGUGGGGCUCUUGGGCCCAGGGGCACUGGGGCUGGGAGCAGGUGUGGCCAGCCACCAUUUCUCCCACUGUGACCUCUGUGUUGUGGAACAGGGAAGUAGUGCUACCUGUUAUUGGACUUCAGGGGACUGGAGUCCCCCCUGGCCCCAAUCAUAUGCUUCCUGAAAUGCUUUGCACACCAGAGACAGCUUCCCCAGAUCCAGGGGGACAGGGAUCCCCGGGGGAGUCCCCAGGGCCAGCCCUCUGGGCCAGCUGCACACGCUCGACACUGAUUUGCAGUCUUGCACAAAUAAGGGGUAAGAGCCCAGUGGCUGGGGUGGGCAAUGGGGGGAGCCUCUGGCCUAGGGAGUCCCUGGCAUUGACAGUGGGCACAGUCCCAAACACACACCCCCAGUCCUGGACCUCAAGGCCCCUGCCCCACCAAGCAAAGGCUGCUUCCUGCUGGAGAAGCCCCAAAUGUCAGUUUCAAGGAAGAGGGGCCAGCCCUUUGGAGGUCCCAGGGAACCCUGGGCCACCCCACUGCUGCCAACAGUUCUGAUGCUCAAACCACACCCUUCUGGAGCCACCUGCUGCCUGGGCCCAACGAGCCUGUUUUGGACCCAACAGACUGCAGUCCCAUGGAGCGGAGGCUGAGAGGUGCCCAUCACCCGAAGCUGAGCCCACUUUGAAGCCGCUGGAAGGGGCCAGGCCUGCUGAGCCCCCCUAGUGCCUCCCCUGUUCCCACCCCUGUUGUCAGCUGUACCCUGCUGGUCAACUUUGAGGAAUCAUUGCUGCAAGGACGCUUUGCACCAUCUGGCCGCAUUGAGGGCUUCAAAGCAGAGACUAGAGCUAGUGGGUCCUACUGCCACCACCAUGUCACACUGCCUGUCACUGUCACCUUCUUUGAGGUUUCUGAGCAAAAUGUCCCCACCCCCUUCCUGGGCUUCAUGGAUCUGAACUCCCCAGGGAGGAAGAGUUACAGCGUGCCCAAAGUGGGCACUAUGCAAGUAACAUUUAACCCCAACCAGACUAUGGUGAAGAUGUUCGGUGACCUUGGACUUCUUGGACAUGGCUGCUGCCACAUGCCCUUCCUGUGCCAUUGCCUCUUUUUGGUGCCUGUGGAUGAGCAGAAAAAUGCUAACCCCACCUACUGCCUCCUCUGCUACUUGCUGCACCUUCGGUUCUGUAGCUCCCGCUCAGGCCUCUUAAGCCAGAAUGGAGAUCUCUGCCUGCUUUUUUCCUGCGGGCGCCUGGAGCUGGACGCAGGGCUCCCCUACGAACUUCAGGCUGUGACUGAGGCCCCUCUUAACUCACGUUAUUCACCUUUACCCUGAUUGCCAGCACUCUGAACCAAUGUGAGUUCAACUC